UGGAUCCAGACUUUGAUUAUGGCUCAGGACGAACGCUGGCGGCGCGCCUAACACAUGCAAGUCGAACGAGCGAGAGAGAGCUUGCUUUCUCGAGCGAGUGGCGAACGGGUGAGUAACGCGUGAGGAACCUGCCUCAAAGAGGGGGACAACAGUUGGAAACGACUGCUAAUACCGCAUAAGCCCACGACCCGGCAUCGGGAAGAGGGAAAAGGAGCAAUCCGCUUUGAGAUGGCCUCGCGUCCGGUUAGCUAGUUGGUGAGGUAACGGCCCACCAAGGCAACGAUCGGUAGCCGGACUGAGAGGUUGAACGGCCACAUUGGGACUGAGACACGGCCCAGACUCCUACGGGAGGCAGCAGUGGGGAAUAUUGCACAAUGGGGGAAACCCUGAUGCAGCGACGCCGCGUGGAGGAAGAAGGUCUUCGGAUUGUAAACUCCUGUUGUUGAGGAAGAUAAUGACGGUACUCAACAAGGAAGUGACGGCUAACUACGUGCCAGCAGCCGCGGUAAAACGUAGGUCACAAGCGUUGUCCGGAAUUACUGGGUGUAAAGGGAGCGCAGGCGGGAAGACAAGUUGGAAGUGAAAUCCAUGGGCUCAACCCAUGAACUGCUUUCAAAACUGUUUUUCUUGAGUAGUGCAGAGGUAGGCGGAAUUCCCGGUGUAGCGGUGGAAUGCGUAGAUAUCGGGAGGAACACCAGUGGCGAAGGCGGCCUACUGGGCACCAACUGACGCUGAGGCUCGAAAGUGUGGGUAGCAAACAGGAUUAGAUACCCUGGUAGUCCACACCGUAAACGAUGAUUACUAGGUGUUGGAGGAUUGACCCCUUCGGUGCCGCGGUUAA
This 841-nucleotide ribosomal RNA is filed under the name uncultured Bacillota bacterium. Its description in RNAcentral is "bacterial SSU rRNA". It matches the Rfam family "Bacterial small subunit ribosomal RNA", at positions 1 to 855 of the family's 1533-position model. Lineage: Bacteria; Bacillati; Bacillota. The record is from RNAcentral.